UCACUGUAAAUCAGAAAAUUUAGGAGAGGCAGCUCUUCUGCGUGGGGACCUUGAAAUGCAAAGAAGCUCUGCUGGAGGCAAAAGAUUUCGAGGACCUGUGGUGCAGUGGACAGGACCCAGCCUGUACCCCGAGGACUCACCCCGAGAUAAACAGGAUAAAUCAUUCUCCUCUACAGUCCUCUCCUACCCUUCCUGGAGCCUCCGCUGUGGGUUUGAUCGCCAAGACUCCACCAUCUUGCUUGUGUGCCAUGCUGUGGUUGUUGCUGCCAAGCCACAGACUCCCAUUGUGGAUUCUCCACCAUGAGGUUUGAAUGAAAGGGCAAAUCCUUAUGUCCAGUCACAUUGCACUUCUUAAAUGGGACCCGCUGCUCUGUCAACAAUGUAUAGAGUCCCAUACCAUCUGAGAAAAAGAUAGCUGCUAGCUCAUGUACUUCAAUGUGCACGGCCUCAAGUCUUCAUCCAUAAGGUGCUGAUAGAAACUAAAAGUGGAGACUUCGCAUCAAUAUUGCAAACCCAGACGCCCUACGCGGAGAAUCACCUUCCUUAAUGAUACUCAGGCUGGAUCCCACAAAUCAAGACCCUGACCUGAUGCUGUGUGGUGGGACUUGGCCAUGAGGGGUUUUCUAAAUCUCUCCAUGAUUGAGUGAUGUGCAAUCAAAUAUGAAGCCUACUGCCGUGCAGCAGUGUGACCACCCUCUCUUCCCUGGCACCCUCUCAUAGCAGUAGGAUGACGGACUGCUAACCAACCCUUUGUUUCAUUCAAUAAAGCAAACUCCAAUCCAAGAGAGUGGGUACUAUCAUUAUACAGGAUCGAGAGUCAGAUUUGACCGAUGUCAAAAAAGCCAGUGCCAAACCUUAGCAACCGAACCAUGAUCAGUUCUUUCAAGCCUGGUUUUGAAGACUCAUCAUUAGCAAUUUCUUAUUAUGUUGAUCAUGGCCUAGUCAAAAAGCCCUUUGGGUUUGGUUGUUAACAUGGUAUUUAAUUAACAUGAUUGCACAGGCAUUGGAUGCAUUUCUCGCUCUUGUUUAUAAGAAGGCCACUGGAGACCACACCAAAUGUAGGUAAGACACUGAGGACAUCGUCACAAGAGUGAGACAUACUGCCUGGUUUUCUUCCAAAGUCUUUACUUCCCUCUGAUUUCACGGUGUGUGAAACCACAGAAUUUUCUCUUGAUGAAAUCAUGAGCAUCAAUUAGGGAGUAACCUGCUUGGUUUCUAGAUUUUGUUUCAGGGAUCCAAAAUAUUGAUGGAGGAUGGUCAAUGAGAAAGAGCUUUUUGGCCGUCGUGUCUGGCACGGGAAAUGUGCAAUAGGUGUUGUACGGUGACAAUACUAUAUUGCCUUUACAUUUAUUUGGGGUGGGUAAGAACAAUAUUCAAGGUGGUUGUGUCUUUUUUUGUUUGGUUGGUUUUUAUUUAUUUUUUAAAGAAAAGAAGACGUUCUAGAUGCGUAGAAUUGAAGCUUAAGGAAUUUUGAGCCUUGCAUGUUCCAAGGUCAAAUUUUAACAAAUUUUAAUUUUUGCUAGGACAAAAAGUGCCUAGCAACUUGUUUUUUUGCGUGGCUCCCUCCCUCUUCCUUCCUCCCUUCCAUCUGCCACCCUUCCUUCUUUCCAUCGUUCCUUCUAUCCCUCCCUCCUUCCUUCCUUUAUUUAACUAUUACAAGUGAAAGCACAGUCUCUCAGCCAUUCUUUUCUCCAGUAAUGAAUGCUUUCACUCACGGACAUCAUCACCCUCCCUGUCAGCAGGGCACUUUCU
This 1752-nucleotide long non-coding RNA is filed under the name Canis lupus familiaris (dog). Its description in RNAcentral is "lncRNA (ENSCAFG00000051681.1, ENSCAFG00845025004.1)". Lineage: Eukaryota; Metazoa; Chordata; Mammalia; Carnivora; Canidae. The record is from RNAcentral.